Molecule: unclassified non-coding RNA, 1284 nt
Filed under: Zea mays
Lineage: Eukaryota; Viridiplantae; Streptophyta; Magnoliopsida; Poales; Poaceae
Description: misc RNA Zm00001eb365490
Source: RNAcentral
GGCAUCGAAAGCUUCCAGAUCCCUCUCCCAGUCUCUCUCCUAUAAUCCUAUGGCUUGGUGGCCGUCUCUCCCCAACCACUCGGCUUCUCGCCCCCUGCCCUCCAUUGCUCCCGACCCCAAUAGCGCCGCUCUGACCUGCUUUUGCGUCGCCGCCGCCGUCAAAUCGCUUCCGCUCUUCCACGCCAUCUCCACCGACAAGGCUGUCUGGUGAGCGCGCCGCCCUGCUCGCUGGAGCCAACCACCACCAUGCAUGCCCAUUGCGUGGGCAGAAGGCGCAGCACAAGGGCCUACUGCUUGGUGGAGAGGAGGGCAAAGUCGCGACCUUUUCAUUGAGUAGAAGCAUCGGCGCUGUGCUGUUCCGCCGUGCCCUCCUCCUCCAAAGUCGGCCUCCCCUCACGCUUCUUCAGCGGCGCCUACCGAGAGGCGAGAGAGGAAGUUCGCUCCGAUCUGGAAAAGUUCUUCGCAGGCCAUAAUGAACCUCCUCAAUGUCUACGUCCACGCCAACCUGGCCGCAACGCUCGCCCUCUCGCCCAUGACCUCCUUUCGCGUCCGCGUCAUUCGGGGGGCACCCACCGCGCCUCCGCCACGCUCAUCUGCGUCGCGCACGGCGCACUACCUCCUCGCCACUGUGCCGCUCGACGAUCCGACGCCGGCACGGCAGCGAGCCCCUCCUUGACGACGCAGCAGUGCACCGCGUCGAGCUGCCGUUUAAACGAAUUUUUGUGACAUAAUUUUGAGAAUGGGAUUUCAUGAGAGAAGUUGGUACAAGUCACCGCACCAGAGCAUCGUGUGGGCAGGUGGUUUUUUAAUUAGGCACAAGCAAACGGCUGAAAAUUCGUCCCCAUGCAGCUUAGAGCGGGCCGUCGCCGUCGUGCCCGCCGCCGCCGCCGCCGGUUCCACCUGCAGUGUCCGCCGUGACGACGUCGACGAGGAAGUCGAAGAGGUCGGUGUUGUGCACGGCCGUGGCGACGUCCUCCCUGUGCACGGUGCGGCGCUUGCCGUCGAGCGUGGCGGCCCAGGCGCGGCGCGUGAGCUCGGCGACGAAGAGCUCGCACGCCUUGGAGAACACAACGGGCGCCUCGCAGGAGAUCAUCCUGGCGCCGCCGUCCGCGGCGGCCGCCGCCUCCCCCGCGGAGCGCUUCAUGAUCUUCUUGAUGCGCGCCAGCGGCAGCGCGUGCGGGCCCGUCCGCGCCGACACCCCGCCGCAGAAGAUCCCCGAGUACGGCCUCGCCUGCCUCAUGGUGGAGGAAGGAGCGCGUGGCGUGGCGCGGUGCGUCGCAUCGC